CUUUUACUCGCGUCGCACUCAUGGCGAGAAACGGUACUAUCCUUGUUGCACUCGUGAUGAUAAAGCUAAUUGCAGUUUUAUGUUUUUCUCUUAAACAAAUGAGAAUUUCGAAAAAACGCUCAGCUAUAAAAUAGGUAAUUAAAAAAUCUAUUACGUAGCUGAGCGUUUUUUUCGAAAAUCUUCUUUGUUUAGACGAGAAAUGAAAAGCUGCAAUCAUAGGGACCGGCUCUUAACUGUCUAAUUAAAUAAU
Cotesia glomerata is the source of this 250-nucleotide long non-coding RNA. RefSeq lists it as uncharacterized. The record is from RefSeq and is a predicted model, not a curated record. Lineage: Eukaryota; Metazoa; Arthropoda; Insecta; Hymenoptera; Braconidae. The transcript is spliced from 3 exons.